CACCAGGUUGAUUCUGCCUGACGUAGAUGCUAGUCUCCGAGAUUAAGCCAUGCAUGUCUGUGUAGCAAGGACGAACAGCUCAGUAGAACUGCGAUGAUUUGCUCUGGCCGGAACGAUAACCACGGGAAAAUGUGGCUAAGAGGGGGCAGAAUAAGACGUAGGACUAUCAGUUAGUUGGUAGUGUAGUGGACUACCAAGACGGUAACGGUUGACGGGGAAUGAGGGUUCUAUGCCGGAGAGGGAGCCUGAGAGAUUGCUCCCACGUCCAAGGACGGCAGCAGGCGCGAAAAUUGCCCACUGUUUUAGGAGGCAGUUACGAGACGUGAGAGCGAGUGCUUGGCAAAGAGAAGCAGGAGAAUUGGAGGGCAAGUUUGGUGCCAGCAGCCGCGGUAAUACCGACUCCAAGAGUGUGUGUGAGAGAUGCUGCAGUUAAAAAGUCCGUAGUCAGGCUUAGUAAACAGGGGGCGACCCCUAGCGCGCGAGGUUGAGGAGCCAAUGGGGAGCACAGUAUACCAGGGCGAGAGAUGAAAUGUCAAGACCCCUGGUGGACUCGGCGAGGCGAAAGCGGUGCUCUGGUGGGCGUCCGGUGAUCAAGGACGAAGGCUGGAGGAUCGAAAGUGAUUAGAUACCGCAGUAGUUCCAGCAGUAAAAGAUGCCGACACGCCUGCGGGGGACCGCGGGCGGGGAGAAAUCUUAGAGUUCGGGCUCUGGGGAUAGUAUGCUCGCAAGAGUGAAAAUUAAAGAAAUU
Molecule: ribosomal RNA, 748 nt
Filed under: Microsporidium sp. BLAT2 PAR
Lineage: Eukaryota; Fungi; Microsporidia
Description: SSU rRNA
Rfam family: Microsporidia small subunit ribosomal RNA
Source: RNAcentral